RNAcentral lists this non-coding RNA (114 nucleotides) under Modestobacter marinus. RNAcentral's name for it is "SAM-IV sequence". It matches the Rfam family "SAM (S-adenosyl methionine) riboswitch aptamer". From Rfam's summary of the family: SAM-IV is a mRNA element that regulates gene expression via direct sensing of S-adenosylmethionine (SAM or AdoMet). SAM-IV riboswitches share conserved nucleotide positions with the previously described SAM-I riboswitches sequence analysis and molecular recognition experiments suggest that SAM-I and SAM-IV riboswitches share similar ligand binding sites, but have different scaffolds. Lineage: Bacteria; Bacillati; Actinomycetota; Actinomycetes; Geodermatophilales; Geodermatophilaceae. The record is from Rfam by way of RNAcentral.
GGUCAUGAGCGCCAGCGCGAAGCCCCGGCUCGCUGGCCGGCAACCCUCCUCCGCGACGGGGUGCCCCGGGUGACGACCUGGCGGCUGCAGCCCCGCAGCCGCAAAGCGCGGACC